AGUUGAUCCUGCUGGAGGUCACUGCUCUAGGAAUCCGAAUUAGCCAUGCAAGUCGUGAGGGUUCGGCCCUCGGCGAACGGCUUAGUAACACGUAGAUAAUCUGCCCUAAAGAGGAGGAUAAUCUCGGGAAACUGAGGAUAAUACUCCAUAGGUAAGAGAUACUGGAAGGUUCUUUUACCCAAAGCUUCGGCGCUUUAGGAUGAGUCUGCGGCCGAUUAGCCUGUUGGUGGGGUAAUGGCCCACCAAAGCUUUGAUCGGUAAGGGCCAUGAAAGUGGUAGCCCUAAGAAGGGAACUGAGACAAGGUCCCUAGCCCUACGGGGUGCAGCAGUCACGAAAACUCCACAAUGCGCGAAAGCGUGAUGGGGGGAAUCCUAGUGCCAUACCAAAGGUAUGGCUUUUGCCAAGUGUAAGGAUCUUGGCGAAUAAGGGGUGGGCAAGACCGGUGCCAGCAGCCGCGGUAACACCUGCGCCCCAAGUGGUGACCAUGUUUAUUAGGCCUAAAACAUCCGUAGCCGGUCUGGUAAGUCUUUGGUGAAAUUGUUCAUCUUAAGUGAACAGCGUGCCAGGGAAACUACCAGACUUGAGAUCGGGAGGAGUCAGGGGUAUUUCUGGGUUAAGGGUAAAAUCUAGUAACCCCAGAAGGACUACCAGUGGCGAAGGCGCCUGACUAGAACGAGUCUGACGGUGAGGGAUGAAAGCCAAGGUAGCGAUGCGGAUUAGAUACCCGCGUAGUCUUGGCUGUAAACGCUGCCCGCUAGGUGCUGCUCGUCCUUCGUGGUCGAGCAGUGUCGAAGUGAAGACGUUAAGCGGGCUGCCUGGGGAGUACGGUCGCAAGGCUGAAACUUAAAGGAAUUGGCGGGGGAGCACAACAAGGGGUGGAGCGUGCGGUUUAAUUGGAUUCGACGCCGGAAAUCUCACCAGGAACGACAGCAGAGUGAAGGCCAGCUUAAACGGGCUUGCCUGACGCGCUGAGAGGUGGUGCAUGGCCGUCGUCAGCUCGUGUCGUGAGAUGUCCUCUUAAGUGAGGCAACGAGCGAGACCCUCGCCUUCAGUUGCUACUCACUCCCCCGGGAGUGGCGCACACUGGAGGGACUGCACCCGCUAAGGGUGAGGAAGGUGAGGGCUACGACUGGUCAGUAUGCCCCGAAUUCCCUGGGCUACACGCGCGCUACAAUGACUGGAACAAUGGGAUGCGACUCCGAGAGGAGAAGCUAAACUCCUAAAUCCAGUCCCAGUUCGGAUUGAGGGUUGUAACCCACCCUCAUGAAGACGGAAUCCCUAGUAACCGUGAAUCAAAAUCUCACGGUGAAUACGUCCCUGCUCCUUGCACACACCGCCCAUCAAACCAAUCGAGUUGAUCUUAGGUGAGACCCAGUCUUUUGUCUGGUUCGAACCUGGGUUCGGCGAGAGGGGUUAAGUUGUCACAAGGUA
This 1432-nucleotide ribosomal RNA is filed under the name metagenome. RNAcentral's name for it is "bacterial SSU rRNA". It matches the Rfam family "Archaeal small subunit ribosomal RNA". The record is from RNAcentral.